AUGCUUGAUGAGUACAAGACACCUAGAAAGUUCUGGCCUGAAGCUAUUGAUACAGAAUGUCAUGUCAUCAACCGUGUUUAUCUUCAUAAGCUUCUGAAGAAAGCAUCCUAUGAACUCCUCACUGGCAAGAAGCCAAAUGUCAGUUACUUCAGAGAAUUUGGAGCUAGGUGCUGGAUCAAGGAUCCACAUCACAAAUCAAAUUUUGCACCUAAAGCUCACGAAGGUGUCAUGCUCGGUUACGGAAAAGACUCGCACUCUUAUAGAGUCUUCAACCUCUAUCUCUAUAAAGUCGUCGAAACUGUGGACGUACGGUUCGAUGAAACCAAUGUCUCACAAAGAGAGCUCUUGCCAAAUAUGCUAGAUGAAGCUCCACCCAGUGAAUCUAUCAAGCUAAUGGGAACUGGUGAAAUCAUGCCUUCUGAAGCACAGCCUGAAGAGGAACUUAUCAUUUCUGCACCUAAUCAACCUGAAGACAAUGCUCAGCCUGAAGACAAUCCUUCCAAUGUUGAUAAUGAUCAGCAAGAGCAAAAUCUUCGUCCAGUUCAUCCUCGUAUUGCAAAUGAAGUACAGAUUGAGAAGAUAAUUGAUAGCAUAAAUGCAACUAGUCCACUCACUCGUUCAAGAGCAACAUAG
This 633-nucleotide ribosomal RNA is filed under the name Triticum aestivum (bread wheat). RNAcentral describes it as "partial small subunit ribosomal RNA". The record is from RNAcentral. Lineage: Eukaryota; Viridiplantae; Streptophyta; Magnoliopsida; Poales; Poaceae.